RNAcentral lists this ribosomal RNA (433 nucleotides) under uncultured bacterium. RNAcentral describes it as "partial 16S ribosomal RNA". It matches the Rfam family "Bacterial small subunit ribosomal RNA", at positions 29 to 507 of the family's 1533-position model. The record is from RNAcentral.
AACGAACGCUGGCGGCAGGCCUAACACAUGCAAGUCGAGCGGACCCUUCGGGGUUAGCGGCGGACGGGUGAGUAACGCGUGGGAAUAUGCCCUUCUCUACGGAAUAGUCCUGGGAAACUGGGGGUAAUACCGUAUACGCCCUUUGGGGGAAAGAUUUAUCGGGGAAGGAUUAGCCCGCGUUGGAUUAGGUAGUUGGUGGGGUAAUGGCCUACCAAGCCGACGAUCCAUAGCUGGUUUGAGAGGAUGAUCAGCCACACUGGGACUGAGACACGGCCCAGACUCCUACGGGAGGCAGCAGUGAGGAAUCUUAGACAAUGGGGGCAACCCUGAUCUAGCCAUGCCGCGUGAGUGAUGAAGGCCUUAGGGUUGUAAAGCUCUUUCAGCUGGGAAGAUAAUGACGGUACCAGCAGAAGAAGCCCCGGCUAACUCCGUG